RNAcentral lists this ribosomal RNA (1171 nucleotides) under metagenome. RNAcentral's name for it is "bacterial SSU rRNA". It matches the Rfam family "Eukaryotic small subunit ribosomal RNA", at positions 686 to 1762 of the family's 1831-position model. The record is from RNAcentral.
AUUCUGGCUGCGCGCUCGGGUCGAAUUUAAGCCGUGGGAGGACAGAUUAAGUUCUGUCUUUCCAGAUAACCUUGAACAAACAUUGACGCUCAAGAUAGGACUAAGGUCUAUUGAGAUUUCAGCAUGGGAUUAUGAAAGAUGGGAGGGGGGCAAGAGGGACGCGUAAAAACCGCCUGAAGGCCUCUUUCCAAUGGUUAAUGAGGACAAUGCGUGGAAGUUUAUAUUGGAACGUCAGAGGUGAAAUUCUUGGAUUGUUCCACGAUAAACAUCAGCGAAGGCGUUCUUCAAGUGUGUGCCUGUCGAUCAAGAACGAAAGUUGGGGGAUCGAAGACGAUCAGAUACCGUCGUAGUCUCAACUGUAAACGAUGCCGACUAUGAAUUGGAUAAAAUUUUAGGAAAGCGCGGGGAAACCCGCGCCUCUGAUGACUUCUCCAGCGCAUUACAAGAAAUUAAGAGUUUUUGGGUUCCGGGGGGAGUAUAGUCGCAAGGCCGAAACCUAAAGGAAUUGACGGAAGGGCACCACCAGGUGUGGAGCCUGCGGCUUAAUUUGACCCAACACGGGGAAACUUACCAGGUCCAGACAGCGUGAGGAUUGACAGAUUGAUAGCUCUUUCAUGAUUCGUUGGGUGGUGGUGCAUGGCCGUUCUUAGUUGGUGGUGUGAGUUGUCUGGUUGAUUCCGUUAACGAACGAGACCUUUGUUGAAUAAUAGGACACGUCAGUUUUUGCGUCAAGGGUGGCUGGUCCUUCCCGAGAUACGAGCAAUCGCCUUGGGAAAAGGCUGGUCACUUGCAUAGCUGGCGUGAGCUUCCUUCUAUUCGAGACAAAUACGAAAAACGUAUUGGAAGUUAUAGGCAAAAACAGGUCUGUGAUGCCCUUAGACGUUCUGGGCUGCACGCGCGCUACAAUGACAAUGUCAGCGAGUUUCAGCUUGGGCGAAAGCUCUGGCAAAUCUUGGAAACGUUGUCGUAAUAUGGAUUGUUGAUUGCAACUAUUCGACAUGAAACAGGAAUACCUAGUAGGUGCGCUUCAUCAGAGCGCUCCGAUUACGUCCCUGCCCUUUGUACACACCGCCCGUCGCUCCUACCGAUUGAAACAUACGGUGAAAAUCUCGGAGAGAGUAGUUCUCGGGGUCAAGUUCGCUUGGUCUCUCCUGCUUUCGAAGUUAUUUAA